GUAUCAGAAGUGCGAAUGCUGACAUAAGUAACGAUAAAGCGGGUGAAAAGCCCGCUCGCCGGAAGACCAAGGGUUCCUGUCCAACGUUAAUCGGGGCAGGGGGAGUCGACCCCUAAGGCGAGGCCGAAAGGCGUAGUCGAUGGGAAACAGGUUAAUAUUCCUGUACUUGGUGUUACUGCGAAGGGGGGACGGAGAAGGCUAUGUUAGCCGGGCGACGGUUGUCCCGGUUUAAGCAUGUAGGCUGGUUGUCCAGGCAAAUCCGGAUAAUCAAGGCUGAGGUGUGAUGACGAGGCACUACGGUGCUGAAGUAACAAAUGCCCUGCUUCCAGGAAAAGCCUCUAAGCAUCAGGUAACAUCAAAUCGUACCCCAAACCGACACAGGUGGUCA
Molecule: ribosomal RNA, 388 nt
Filed under: Klebsiella pneumoniae
Lineage: Bacteria; Pseudomonadati; Pseudomonadota; Gammaproteobacteria; Enterobacterales; Enterobacteriaceae
Description: partial 23S ribosomal RNA
Rfam family: Bacterial large subunit ribosomal RNA
Source: RNAcentral